RNAcentral lists this ribosomal RNA (580 nucleotides) under uncultured rumen bacterium. RNAcentral describes it as "bacterial SSU rRNA". It matches the Rfam family "Bacterial small subunit ribosomal RNA", at positions 194 to 775 of the family's 1533-position model. The record is from RNAcentral.
CGUGAGGUGAAAGAUCCGUCGGUCCGGGAUGGGCAUGCGGCGCAUUAGCUUGUUGGCGGGGUAACGGCCCACCAAGGCGACGAUGCGUAGGGGUUCUGAGAGGAAGGUCCCCCACACUGGUACUGAGACACGGACCAGACUCCUACGGGAGGCAGCAGUGAGGAAUAUUGGUCAAUGGACGCGAGUCUGAACCAGCCAAGUCGCGUGCGGGAUGAAGGCCCUCCGGGUCGUAAACCGCUUUAGCCGGGGAGUAACGUGCGGGACGCGUCCCGCAGUGAGAGUACCCGGAGAAUAAGCAUCGGCUAACUCCGUGCCAGCAGCCGCGGUAAUACGGAGGAUGCGAGCGUUAUCCGGAUUUAUUGGGUUUAAAGGGUGCGCAGGCGGCGCGUCAAGUCAGCGGUCAAACUGCGGGGCUCAACCCCGUAUCGCCGUUGAAACUGGCGAGCUGGAGUUCGUGCGACGGAGGCGGAAUGCGCGGUGUAGCGGUGAAAUGCAUAGAUAUCGCGCAGAACCCCGAUUGCGAAGGCAGCUUCCGAGCACGCGACUGACGCUCAUGCACGAAAGCGUGGGUAUCGAACAG